Long non-coding RNA from Salvia splendens (bonfire salvia), 2002 nucleotides. RefSeq lists it as uncharacterized. The transcript has 6 exons. The record is from RefSeq and is a predicted model, not a curated record. Lineage: Eukaryota; Viridiplantae; Streptophyta; Magnoliopsida; Lamiales; Lamiaceae.
AAAAAAAAAAAAAAAAAAAAAAAAAAAAAAAGAGGCAGCAUUUGCUGCUGUUUGUGUAGAUGUCAAGUAUCUGCAGACCAACGAUUCAUCUAGAAGUGCAUCCCCUACUACUGAAGAGACCUUGAAUCAUCUCUGGCAGCAGUGUGAUUCUUCUCUUCAAUUUCUACAGCCCCUGUGUCAGCAAAAGUUGUUCCGGGAAUGCAUUGUUAACAACCAGGAGCUUGGGAAGUGGUGGACUGCAGAGCAACUAGCUUCCUGUGUUGGACUCGGCCUUGAUGAAAAAAGGAGUAGCUCUACUUCUCAUCUUUGUAGUUGUCAAAAUCCUGGUCUUUGAGGAUUCUGUUUGCAGGACUUGCAUCUAAAAAAGAAAUCGUGGGCCUUGGAAACUGGUUCAUGACUCAAUUAGUGUCAAGUAAAGAUACUUUAUAUGAGGAAUGGAAAUUGCAGCUUGUUGCCACUAUGUGGCAAAUACUUGACUACUUCGAUUUCUGUAUAUUUGAGUUUGUUUUCUUUACCUGUCCGUUUGAUGAUUAUGAUUGAUACAACAAAUUCUGGUUUACUGAGUGAACAUAAGAACAGAUUAAUAGUGUUGUAAUAUACUAUUCAACUUAACUAUGAGUUGUAAUGUUACCCCGUUCUAAAAUUUUCAGCUUGCCUGUAAUGUUUAUCCUUUGUGAAUGCUUCUGCUUGUGUAUUGCUGCAUCAACUUGUGACUCACCAUAUGCUGUGUAUUGCUGCAUCAACUUGUGACUCACCAUAUGCUGUGUAUUGCUGCAUCAACUUGUGACUCACCAUAUGCUGUGUAUUGCUGCAUCAACUUGUGACUGGUGAUGUUGUGUAUUGCUUGAGCUGCUUUAGAUGCUUUGGGGAAGCUUGCAAAUUCAAGAGUUUGUUCCUUCCUAGGUUAUUGGUUAAUGUUAUUGUUUUGAAUUUUAGUCUAACCUUGGAUUUAUGACAUUCCCAUGUUUUCCUUCGAGAGUAAGGUAUUAGAGCAGUUUCUGGACCGUCUCAUUGAGUAGUACUGCUCCAGUUUAGUUUUGACCACCUCACUAUUUAUUCCAGCGAGUUGAAGGGUAUAAAGCUGCAACCAAUAUUUGCUUCAAUAUUCAAACUUUUAUUUAUUAAAUCUAACUUUAGUUCGAUAUUAAGUGUGUCAUUUCAUACUAAAGCCAUCAAUGAAGAACUUCUGCAUAAUCAGAUGCUCUACACUUGUCUGUACCUGAUAAAAUUGAAGUUGGUCUAGCUUUGUCUAAUUCUGAAGAACACGAUACCAGGAUGUGUGGAAAGAAAUUCUUUUUGGGUCAGAUUUCAAAGCUGUGUGCUAAUCCUGUUGCACUUGAGGCUACUGUGAUAAUUCAGCAUAUUCUUUUUGAAGUGAUCUGUUUGGUCAAGUUCCUCAACAAUUUAUUUUGACCUAACAUCUCUUAUAUGCUAGUUAGGUAGUUUUUUAUACUUAGUCUACUGUGUUUGAGUUUUUUAUCUUUACCUGUCCGUUUGAUGUUUAUGAUUGAUAAAUCAAAUUAUUGGUUUACUGAGUGAACAUGAUCCCAGAUAAAUAAUGUCAUAAAAUACUCUUCAACCUAACUAUGUUAAUUGUAAUGUUACCAUGUUGUAAAAUUUUCAGCUUGCCUAUAAUGUUUAUCCUUUGUGAAUGCUUCUACUUCAGAUCAGUCAUUAAGCAUCAACGCCUGACUCACCUUACGUUGGGUCUUUACGAGUUGUUUUAGAUGCUUUGUGGAAGCCUGCAGAUUCGGAAGUUUGUUCCUUCCUAGGUUAUCAGUGAAUGUUAUUAUUGUGAAUUACAGUCUGACCUUGGAUUUAUGACAUUAUGAUGUUUUCAUUUGGGAGUAAAGCAUUGGAGCAGUUUGUGGACCGUCUUAUUGAGUUGCCACAAUACUGCCAUCAUAUCCUACACUUUGCAGCAUUUAUAGAGAGGGAUCUUAACAAUUGCAGGCCCAUCAUUUUCUCUGAUCGGACCUGGCAGCAUCUCGUGUGGAUUAGC